RNAcentral lists this ribosomal RNA (1176 nucleotides) under Triticum aestivum (bread wheat). RNAcentral's name for it is "partial small subunit ribosomal RNA". The record is from RNAcentral. Lineage: Eukaryota; Viridiplantae; Streptophyta; Magnoliopsida; Poales; Poaceae.
GAAGGGACGCACAAGCAGUCUGUGUCAGAUUAUGACCAAAAAUGUGAGAAGACAUCAAAAAGGAUUGACUGCAAGGCAAAAAUUAGAGUCAAAAAGAGGAAGGAUGGCAAUUUUGUGAUAGAAAUGGUUGAACUCAACCACAAUCACAAGAUGCUGGAAAGCCCCGGGAUGCUUUUGCACAUGCGAUCGCACAAAAGAGACGAUCCUUUGAUUGACCAGUUGGUGAAAGACAUGCAGUUGGACAACCACACACACGCUCAGAUGAUGUCAACGGUGUCGCGUAUGUCCGGUGGUCUGCAGCUGCAGUACAUGGGGCAUACUAGCCGCGACUGGGUAAACAAGAAAUGGAUGUUUGCCAGAGAAGAGUUCCAAGAUGACGUCAAGAAACUUCUGGAUUUCUUUGAGAAGAUACAGAAGAUAAACCCAGAGUUCUUCUAUGAUUAUGACGCCAAUGCAAGUUGCAAAGGAUCCUAUGAAGAUUUUGGAGACUGCGUUACAUUUGACACGACAUAUAAAACUAACAAAUUCCACAUGCCGCUGGGAGUCUUCGUGGGAGUGAACCAUCAUCUACAGAGCACCAUAUUUGCUGUCACCCUCAUGCGAUAUGAAACAAUAUCGUGGUUGGAGUGGGUUUUCAAAACAUUCCUGAGGUGUAUGAACACCAAGCCACCAAUCUGCAUGCUAAAAAACCAAUGUUCUUUGAUGAAGGCAACAUUAAAAACUAUCCUCCCAGAUACAUUACAUAAGUUGUGUCGGUGGCAUAUCAUGAAGAAGUACAAAGACCACCUCGCCUUGCUGUAUAAGGUGCCCGAGAAACUCAAGGAUGACCUCAAUGCGGUGCUGAACCACCCACUAAUGCCGUCAGAAUUUGAACGGGCAUGGAAGGACCUGAUGCAGAAAUACAAAUUGCAAAAUGAUGAAGUGAUGAAUUCGCUGUGGGAUGACAGGCACGAGUGGAUCUCGGCUUACUACAAGGAAAUUUUCUGUGCUCGGAUGACUUCCACGCAGAGAAGCGAGAGCAUGAACCGCAUAUGGAAGAAAAACUUCGUCAAAGAGAAGCAUGGUCUCCAUCUAUUUGCUCAGCAGGUGGACAAGUGCAUUCAGACCAGGAAGGCCGUUGAGCACACAUAUAUAGUAGCAAAUGAGGUAAACAAAAUGUCCAUCAAAAACUGCUAA